UAAUGGCCUACCAAGGCGUCGACGGGUAGCCGGCCUGGGAGGGUGUACGGCCACAUUGGGACUGAGAUACGGCCCAGACUCCUACGGGAGGCAGCAGUGGGGAAUAUUGCACAAUGGGCGCAAGCCUGAUGCAGCGACGCCGCGUGGGGGAUGACGGCCUUCGGGUUGUAAACUCCUUUCGCUAGGGACGAAGAGUAAUUGACGGUACCUGGAGAAGAAGCACCGGCUAACUACGUGCCAGCUGCCGCGGUAAUACGUAGGGUGCGAGCGUUGUCCGGAAAUACUGGGCGUAAAGAGCUCGUAGGAGGUUUGUCGCGUCGUUUGUGUAAGUCCGCAGCUUAACUGCGGGACUGCAGGCGAUACGGGCAUAACUAGAGUGCUGUAGGGGAGACUGGAAUUCCUGGUGUAGCGGUGGAAUGCGCAGAUGUCAGGAGGAACACCGAUGGCGAAGGCAGGUCUCUGGGCAGUAACUGACGCUGAGGAGCGAAAGCAUGGGGAGCGAACAGGAUUAGAUACCCUGGUACUCCAUGCCGUAAACGGUGGGCGCUAGGUGUGAGUCCCUUCCACGGGGUUCGUGCCGUAGCUAACGCAUUAAGCGCCCCGCCUGG
Molecule: ribosomal RNA, 608 nt
Filed under: uncultured Actinomycetes bacterium
Lineage: Bacteria; Bacillati; Actinomycetota; Actinomycetes
Description: bacterial SSU rRNA
Rfam family: Bacterial small subunit ribosomal RNA
Source: RNAcentral